AAUUAACCGUGUGCUUUGCACCGGAUUUGGGUAAUGCAAUUAGGUUGCUUGCCUUAAAUAGAUUAGUCGGAAUUUUCCCAAGUAACAAAGCGUAAUAAGUUUCGCUACGUGAAACGGAUUGAAGCUGGCUUCUAAUCGCCGUUUGGCAAUUUUUAGA
RNAcentral lists this unclassified non-coding RNA (157 nucleotides) under uncultured Basidiomycota. RNAcentral's name for it is "sequence contains ITS2". Lineage: Eukaryota; Fungi; Basidiomycota. The record is from RNAcentral.